CAUAUCAAGGUAAGACAAAAAAAAAUUAUGUUUUACCCUUAGCAUUUAUACUCAUUUCAAAUCAUUUUUCCAACUCCAAUACAAUUAUACACCAUUUAAUAGGGAUAUUGUGGUAAAAUAUCUAUCUUAAUUAUUGUUUCUUAAACAGCUUGAAAAGUCAAAAUGUGACAAGUAAAAGUGAACGGAGGGAGUACAAAUUUACCAAUUAACUAUGAUAGGUUAAGUUCAGAGUUUUCCUAUGUACAAUCUCAAUUAUUGAAAAAUAAAUUACACUCCUUAACUAUGCUCCAUCUUUUCUCAUUAAAUGCAAAAGUUGUGUAUGGACUAUGAUGCCUUAUACUUGAAGAUACCACGAUUCUGUUAAACUUGGAGAUGUAUGUUAGUUCCUCCGAUCGAGGCAGAUCAUUUCGAUUGCGUUUGCUCAUGGAUAAUUUUAAAAUUCAUGAAAUUCAAUUGCAUUUAGUUCCAAGACUUGGCAAGGUGAGGAAUUGAAAUUUUUCUUCUAUAUAAGAUGUGAAAUUACCUCUCUUUGAGAGUAAAGUAUCUUAAUUGUUGUAUAGGAAAGUGAGUUUUUAAGCAUUUUUCUUUGGAAGGUUCUAAAAAUUUAUAAACUGAAAUAUUAGGAGAGGAACUGCCGAGCCAUUUGAUGUUUUUGUGUUAUAGUUUGAGCACCCCAGUAUCGAUAUUAUGUCAUUUUUUGCAUUGAAUAGAGUAUGCUUUAGUUGGCUUUAAAGAUGGUUAUGCAUUUUGCUACUUAAAGUGCCCAAUAGUAAUUACAUGUUGAACUAAUUUUAUCGCAUCAUAAGCGGUUCAUUUUGUCUCUUCCUCCAAGAAAUGUAUUUAUAUUCAUGAAUGUCCAGUUUAUUUUUGACAAAUUUUAUGUAUAAAUAUAUCUAUAAAAAAAUUAUUUGUAAAUAUUUACACACAACUAUUCAAUACCUCUUUUUCCUUUUGAUAUGGGAGGACUUAGCAAUACUUACUAGACACCUGCAUGCAGUGGGUUUAGGUUCAUUAUGUCUUAUAAUUCUAAAUAUCAAUUUUGAAGUUGGUAUACAUUCCUUCUUCUAUACAAAUAUACACCUAAUUUAACUGGAAUUAGGAGUUGAGGGUGGAGAUGAAAAAGGUACCCGGGCUUAAGGUUUUUAAACUAAAAAUGACAUGUUCAUAGUUUAAAAGACCAUAGCAGCAAAUCAGUGAUACUUGACACUUUAUUUCUCAAAUAGUUUAAUAUUCAAAAGAAGAUACCAAAGGUUAAAGAUUUCCAAGAAAAAAUUUGAUUGUGUUUUGAAAAGUUGAAGGACAAUUCAUAUUAUUCUUUGGAGUCUAAUUGUGAACAUUAUUUUUUAUCAUAUCAUCGAAGGAGUGAUAAAAUGAUGAUUUGUGUCCUAAAGUAGAAUGUCGUUUCUGAAAAAUGGAUCUCUCUCUGACUAUUUAUGGUGUGAAAACCUUCCGUUCUUGAUUGUGCUUGCUAUCUCUAGAAGAAUAUGUGACUGUACAGAGGACAAUGAAGAAGUGAUAAGUAGAAUGUGGAAGUGCGUAAGCGGUGCAAGGAAGUAAGAUGUGGAGGUGUGUAAGUAAUGCAGUUAUGAUAUUUUAUUAUAUCUGAAAUAUGUUUAAUGCAUUUCUUCUGAUUCAAGUGUAGUUAGAAGUUUGGGGGGAAGAGCUCUUUGUGUAGUUACAGACUUAAAGCAGAUGAACAACAAGAAGAAGAGGGGUGAUGAACGACGAGGGUUAUGACACCAAAUUGGUAAAUCACUUAAAGUGGUUGGCACACGCUGUGAAUGGCUAACUUACUUUCAAACAUGACAGCUUAAUUAUAACAGUGCAAGUUAGCAGAGAUCUUUAGAAAAUGAUCAAGCAGGUCUUCUGGUGAAGAAUACAAAGGCAUUUUGUUAGUAAGAAGGAUUGUUAUGCUGAUUUGGAAGUUUUUGAUCGCCUCAAUGUUCUAGAUUUACAGGUAUAGAUGUGUCAUUUUCUUUUUAAGUUGCUUCAAACAAUUUUUGCUUUAACCACGUGGAAUCAUUUAUCCAGUAUUAAACAACUCUAGAGAUAAACAUGAAGAUCACUAUUUACUCAUUUUAAACCUCUUAUUUAAUGGAGCAAAAACUGGAGGUAGCAUAUGAAUCCUAAUUGUUUCAAAAUACAUCGCAUUCUGCUCUCUUGCUUUGUCGGUAUUAUAUAAGUACUGUCAAUUUCCCUUCACAAUAUUUUUUUCUCAUGACCUAUUCUUUAUAUCAUUUCUGCAAAUUUUUGUGUUUCAUGGAUACACAAUGCAGGUAAGGAGACGGCCUUACAAAAGACAAGAAGCAAAGAGAUACAAUAGCUAAUAUAUCCAAAAGAAGCAAAGAGAUACAAUAGCUAAUAGAUCCAGAACAUACUUUGGCAUCAAUAUAUCUGCAAAUAUGUAUAGUUGUGUGGUAUCUUCAACAUCUCUGUAAAUGUGAUACCUCAUGCAACUUUUAUUGAAUAACUGUUACUCUAUACGUUCUUUCUAUGAUGGCAUGUGCCACAUAUUAACCAUCUGAUAGCUUCAAGCCAAUUAGCUUUAUGUUUCUCUA
Molecule: long non-coding RNA, 2558 nt
Organism: Lycium ferocissimum
Lineage: Eukaryota; Viridiplantae; Streptophyta; Magnoliopsida; Solanales; Solanaceae
Exons: 2
Source: RefSeq, a predicted model, not a curated record